This 252-nucleotide ribosomal RNA is filed under the name uncultured bacterium. RNAcentral describes it as "partial 16S ribosomal RNA". It matches the Rfam family "Bacterial small subunit ribosomal RNA", at positions 524 to 776 of the family's 1533-position model. The record is from RNAcentral.
UACGGAGGAUUCAAGCGUUAUCCGGAUUUAUUGGGUUUAAAGGGUGCGUAGGCGGACUGUCAAGUCAGCGGUAAAAUUGAGAGGCUCAACCUCUUCCCGCCGUUGAAACUGGUGGUCUUGAGUGGAUGAGAAGUACGCGGAAUGCGUGGUGUAGCGGUGAAAUGCAUAGAUAUCACGCAGAACUCCGAUUGCGAAGGCAGCGUACCGGCAUCCAACUGACGCUGAGGCUCGAAAGCGUGGGGAGCAAACAGG